UAGGGAAUCUUCGGCAAUGGACGAAAGUCUGACCGAGCAACGCCGCGUGAGUGAAGAAGGUUUUCGGGUCGUAAAACUCUGUUGGUAGAGAAGAACGUUGGUGAGAGUGGAAAGCUCAUCAAGUGACGGUAACUACCCAGAAAGGGACGGCUAACUACGUGCCA
Molecule: ribosomal RNA, 164 nt
Filed under: uncultured bacterium
Lineage: Bacteria
Description: partial 16S rRNA
Rfam family: Bacterial small subunit ribosomal RNA
Source: RNAcentral